This 486-nucleotide ribosomal RNA is filed under the name uncultured bacterium. Its description in RNAcentral is "partial 16S ribosomal RNA". It matches the Rfam family "Bacterial small subunit ribosomal RNA", at positions 899 to 1397 of the family's 1533-position model. The record is from RNAcentral.
ACUCAAAUGAAUUGACGGGGAGCCGCACAAGCGGUGGAGCAUGUGGUUUAAUUCGAAGCUACGCGAAGAACCUUAUCCAAGGCUUGACAUCCUGGGAAUCCGCUGGAAACAGUGGAGUGCCUUCGGGAACCCAGUGACAGGUGUUGCAUGGCCGUCGUCAGCUCGUGUCGUGAGAUGUUGGGUUAAGUCCCGCAACGAGCGCAACCCUUAUCGUAUGUUGUACUUUUCAUACGAGACUGCCCGGGACAACCGGGAGGAAGGUGGGGUCGAAGUCAGGUCCGCAUGGCCCUUAUGCCUUGGGCUACACACGUGCUACAAUGGCCGGUACAACGGGUUGCCAACCCGCGAGGGGGAGCUAAUCCCAUCAAAACCGGUCUCAGUUCGGAUUGGAGGCUGCAACUCGCCUCCAUGAAGUUGGAAUCGCUAGUAACCGUGGGUCAGCAUACCGCGGUGAAUACGUUCUCGGCUCUUGUACACACCGCCCGU